Molecule: long non-coding RNA, 249 nt
Filed under: Gallus gallus (chicken)
Lineage: Eukaryota; Metazoa; Chordata; Aves; Galliformes; Phasianidae
Source: RNAcentral
AUCAUCUUUAUCUGAUGCUUGUCGCAAUGCCUCUUUUUCACGCCUCUUCUUCUCUUUCUUUUCUUUCUUUGAGAGAGUUCGUUUGAAAUUCUGUAUUACUCCUUCUUUUUCUUGUUUUUCAGGGCCAUUACUCUGAGCCUUUGGAGGAAGCGUAUCAUUUUCAUUCUUGAGAACAAACCUUCCUUCUCGAUCAUCUUUGUUCCAGUUUAAUUGUACAACAAGAGGCUUCUCAUCCACAUCUAAUCUUCU